GAUGAACGCUGGCGGCGUGCCUAAUACAUGCAAGUCGAGCGAACAGACGAGGAUCUUGCUCCUCUGACGUUAGCGGCGGACGGGUAAGUAACACGUAGCUAACCUACCUAUAAGACUUAGCUAACUUCGGGAAACCGGAGCUACUACCGGAUAAUAUUGUUAACCGCAUGGUUCAGUAGUGAUAGACGGGUUUGCUGUCACUUAUCGAUGUAUCCGCGCCUCGUUAGCUGGUUGGUAAGGUAACGGCUUACCAAGGCACCGAUGGGUAGCCGACGUGAGAGGGUGAUCGGCCACACAGGAACUGAGACGCGGUCCAGACUCCUACGGGAGGCAGAGGUAGGGAAGCUACCGAAAUGGGCGGAAGCCUGCAGGAGGAGUGCAGCGUGGGUGAUGAAGGUCUUCGGAUCGUAAAACGCUGUUAGUAGGGUAGACCACUUGUGUAAGUAACUAUGCACGGCUUGACGGUACCUAAUCAGAAAGCCACGGCUAACUACGUG
This 497-nucleotide ribosomal RNA is filed under the name uncultured bacterium. RNAcentral's name for it is "partial 16S ribosomal RNA". It matches the Rfam family "Bacterial small subunit ribosomal RNA", at positions 28 to 507 of the family's 1533-position model. The record is from RNAcentral.